AACGAACGCUGGCGGCGUGCCUAACACAUGCAAGUCGAGCGAGAAAGCCCGCAAGGGUGAGUAAAGCGGCGCACGGGUGCGUAACACGUGGGUAAUCUGCCCUAGAGUCCGGAAUAACUCGCCGAAAGGCGUGCUAAUGCCGGAUGAGACCACGGGAGCCUCGGCUCCCGCGGGAAAAGGUGGCCUCUGUAUACAAGCUAUCGCUCUAGGAUGAGCCCGCGGCCCAUCAGCUCGUUGGCGGGGUAAUGGCCCACCAAGGCUACGACGGGUAGCUGGUCUGAGAGGACGAUCAGCCACACUGGAACUGAGACACGGUCCAGACUCCUACGGGAGGCAGCAGUGGGGAAUCUUGCGCAAUGGGCGAAAGCCUGACGCAGCAACGCCGCGUGUGUGAUGAAGGUCUUCGGAUCGUAAAGCACUGUCGCGAGGGACGAAUAAGGGGCGGGCUAACAUCCCGUUCCGAUGACGGUACCUCGAGAGGAAGCACCGGCUAACUCUGUGCCAGCAGCCGCGGUAAUACAGAGGGUGCGAGCGUUGUUCGGAAUUAUUGGGCGUAAAGCGCGUGUAGGCGGCCUUGCAAGUUGGGUGUGAAAGCCCUCGGCUUAACCGAGGAAGUGCGCCCAAAACUACGAGGCUUGAGUGCCGGAGAGGGUGGCGGAAUUCCCGGUGUAGAGGUGAAAUUCGUAGAUAUCGGGAGGAACACCAGUGGCGAAGGCGGCCACCUGGACGGUAACUGACGCUGAGACGCGAAAGCGUGGGGAGCAAACAGGAUUAGAUACCCUGGUAGUCCACGCUGUAAACGAUGAGCGCUAGGUGUUGUGGGUGUUGACCCCCGCAGUGCCGCAGCUAACGCAUUAAGCGCUCCGCCUGGGAAGUACGGCCGCAAGGCUA
This 891-nucleotide ribosomal RNA is filed under the name uncultured bacterium. RNAcentral's name for it is "bacterial SSU rRNA". It matches the Rfam family "Bacterial small subunit ribosomal RNA", at positions 28 to 896 of the family's 1533-position model. The record is from RNAcentral.